Molecule: ribosomal RNA, 253 nt
Filed under: uncultured bacterium
Lineage: Bacteria
Description: partial 16S ribosomal RNA
Rfam family: Bacterial small subunit ribosomal RNA
Source: RNAcentral
UACAGAGGUCCCAAGCGUUGUUCGGAUUCACUGGGCGUAAAGGGUGCGUAGGUGGGCAGGUAAGUCAGUGGUGAAAUCUCCGGGCUUAACCCGGAAACUGCCAUUGAUACUAUCUGUCUUGAAUACCGUGGAGGUGAGCGGAAUAUGUCAUGUAGCGGUGAAAUGCUUAGAUAUGACAUAGAACACCAAUUGCGAAGGCAGCUCACUACACGAAUAUUGACACUGAGGCACGAAAGCGUGGGGAUCAAACAGG